This 489-nucleotide ribosomal RNA is filed under the name uncultured bacterium. Its description in RNAcentral is "bacterial SSU rRNA". It matches the Rfam family "Bacterial small subunit ribosomal RNA", at positions 28 to 517 of the family's 1533-position model. The record is from RNAcentral.
GACGAACGCUGGCGGCGUGCUUAAUACAUGCAAGUCAACUUGACUUUAGAUAGCAAUAUCGAAAAGUAGGGUGGCGCACGGGUGCGUAACGCGUAGGUAAUCUGCCCUGAGGUCUGACAUAACCCGUCGAAAGGCGGGCUAACAUCAGAUGAUAUAUAAUCACGACAUCGUGGAAAUAUCAAAUCUUCGGAGCCUUGGGAUGAGCCUGCGUCUGAUUAGGUAGUUGGCGGAGUAAUAGCCCACCAAGCCUACGAUCAGUAGCUGGUCUGAGAGGAUGAUCAGCCACACUGGAACUGAGACACGGUCCAGACUCCUACGGGAGGCAGCAGUAAGGAAUAUUGCUCAAUGGGGGAAACCCUGAAGCAGCAACGCCGCGUGAAGGAUGAAAUACUUUUGUAUGUAAACUUCUGUAAGAUGGGAAAAAUAUUCUCCUCGGAGAAUUGAUUGUACCAUCAGAGUAAGCCCCGGCUAACUACGUGCCAGCAGCCG